UUUUUUUUACUACCUGCAAACCAAAACAGAUUCAUGGCCAAGCUUAUUCCCACAAAAGGGUCGAAACAAAAGGAAAAUGGUCUGAUUGUCUGCUAAAGUUUAUUCAGUACGUGGGUGGAUGUUUUGUUCACCUUUACAGUGGCAUCUUUACCACAGCUGUUACCAGCAUCACUCGUCAUCAUCAUUAAUCCUUAGUUACGAUACAUUCUUUCUCCAAAUUACUAACAUCUUUCCUGAUUUAUACCAUAAGAUAAUCCAUCUAUUAUUCGAUUGCAAAGUAAUAGAAUGGUAAGAGUUUCGACUAAGUUCAAAUAAAUCCAAAGUUUGAAUCUUGACAUCAAGGUAAAAUAAUACAUAGGUGUGUGAAAAAUGGUAAGACUCAUCCAUGUCUCUGCCCUCCUCCCAACCCAUUACAUGACGUCAGAAAGAGCUCGUACUUCACAUUCUCGGACCGAAGGACAACCAUGCUUUGUUGACAUCUCCGAAAGGCAACCAAUUAUACCCCCUAGUGAUCCUAAACACAUGCACAUGUCCCUAUGCCCGAACUUGCUCCCUAAAUAUUGCAGCAUCAACAUUGCAAUUCAGAGUCCCCCAAACAAGACCGAUGCCCACUUGAGCCACAUUAGUUGAUUAGUCGAUUUCGCCCUAGCUCCCGCUAACCGAUCGUAGCCACUCCACCAAGUCACUAAUCCUUGAUUAAAGAGUUAAACAAGUUGAUAUCACACCUGUGGUAACUCAUGCACAUACCAUUGAAGAAAGUUGCCAUGUGUUAGAAUCAAGGAUUUGCCCACCACCAUUGAUACUGAAAUUGAAGAAUGCUAGCUAGCAGGCAGCAACGGCUCCUUUUCAUUUGUCUUUCAACAGAGCAAGUAACAACAACCGUUGCCUAAACUGAAACCCAAUAAAGAGCAGAAAAAAGGGUUGGGUGGUGUAGGCUAGUUUGUCUGAAAUCAAUGUACAUUUUGCACUUCCAUUUACUCUUCUCCAUCCACUUGGCAUCCUACAUUAUUACUUCUUCUUCGUUAGCUCUCACCAAACUUUACAUACACUUUUUCGGUUAUAAAUACUGUGAGCCUCAAAGCAAAGGCCACUCACUCUAUUCAUUAUUAUUAAAAAAAAAAUAUUGGUUGUUUGGUGCAGAUUAUAGUGACUUCAAAACUGUGGCUCUGCAGGACCAAACUAUGAGCCCUCCAAACUCAAUGAGUCCCACCACCAACGGCAAUGGUGUGGCUAUGAAUGGGGCGAAGAAGCAGCUCGAUUUCGACCCGAGUGCUGCCCCCCCUUUCAAGAUUGCAGACAUCCGUGCUGCAAUUCCGCCGCAUUGCUGGGUGAAGAACCCCUGGAGGUCGCUCAGCUACGUCCUGAGAGACCUCCUUGUCAUCCUCAGCUUCGCCGUUGCGGCGGCAAAGCUGGACAGCUGGACUUUCUGGCCUCUUUACUGGGUUGCUCAAGGAACCAUGUUCUGGGCAGUCUUUGUUCUUGGACAUGAUUGGUAAACUAAUUUCACAUUUUCUUUCUGGUAAUGUGGGUUUUAUUGAAAAAGAUUAAAACUUUUUAUCUGGGUUGUUGCAUGCAGUGGCCAUGGGAGCUUCUCAGACAUCUGGUUGUUGAACAAUGUGAUGGGACAUAUACUCCAUUCCUCAAUCCUCGUACCUUACCAUGGAUGGUAUUGUAACUAUUGUUCAAUAUUAGAUUAUUGCUAGUUCUUCAGCUGAAGAAUCCAAACCCUAAUUUUCUUUUUCUGAAUAUUGACCAGGAGAAUUAGCCACAAGACCCAUCACCAGAAUCACGGCAAUGUGGAGAAAGAUGAAUCCUGGGUUCCUGUAAGUUGACAUGCAGUUUGCUGUAAAAAUGCAGAGUGCUCUGUUUUUUUGUGUUCUUGUGCUUUAAUGGUGAUAAUAAUGAAAUUGUUGAAAUGUAACAGCUACCGGAGAAAGUGUACAAGAGCUUGGAUACCAGCACUAAGUUCAUGAGGUUCACCAUUCCUCUCCCAAUGUUUGCUUAUCCUAUCUACUUGGUAAGUAAAGAGACUGAUAAGACUCCAAAGUAGGAAUUAAUGACAAUUUUGGACCCGAGCUUCCGACUCGGGUCGAUUUAUUUCGGGUGGGUACUUACCCGAUGCGGCGGACAUUGUUUUGCUCGUGGUCCACCUCGCUCCCAACCCGCCCCAUUCUUGACGAAAAAGAUUACGGAAUAUGUAUCAACAGAAAUAUCUAGUUUUUAUGUUACUAGUUUUCUGUAUUUCCGUGUUUUUCCCCUCAAUUCCGUCAGAAAUUUGAAUUCAAACUGACAUUGGGUAAUUCUGUCCAUAAGAGAACGGAAUUGGGAAGCCGUAAUUAGUUGGAAUUAGACCUCGAUUUCGGCGGAAUUGGACCCGGCCAUUUUUCGCGUCCGGAAAAGCGUUUCCAGUGGAGUUAGACGCCCAUCUAGAAUGGGUCCAAUUCCACCCCAAUUUCGGGGCUACCUAUUUUUAGUGUACAUGCAUUUUAGAUCUUUUACGGUCUUACCCCGAUGGAUAUUCUUGUCGCGCUCUAUUAAAAACUGACAAUAUACAGGUUGAUUGUGAAUGAAGAUUAGGUGCUGCACGCUCUUCGUGUUCCAACCCGCACCCAAACCGCCCCAUUCUCGACCGAAAAGAUUUUAUGAAUACAUAUCUACAGAAAAAUCUAGUUGUCAUGUCACUAGUUUAAUGUACAACAGUAUAGGUGUCGUUUUCCGCGUCUUUUUCUUCAAUUCCGGCUGGAAUUCGCAUUCAAACAGGAAUUGGAUGGAAUUGGUCCCGGAUGCAUAGUCAUUUCCCAGGCAGUUUCAUGGUUUUAUAACCAAUCAAUCUAAUCUUAUGCUUUUGAUAAACAGUGGACGAGAAGUCCGGGGAAGAAAGGGUCGCAUUUCAACCCAUACAGCGACCUAUUCGCACCAAACGAGAGGGCAGCGGUCUUGAUUUCAACAUUGUGCUGGACAGCCAUGGCCUUACUCCUCUGCUACUCAUCGUUCAUAUACGGCUUCGCUCCGGUCCUCAAAAUCUACGGCGUACCUUAUCUGAUAUUCGUGGCAUGGCUCGACAUGGUGACCUACCUUCAUCACCACGGGUACGAGCAGAAGCUGCCGUGGUACAGAGGCAAAGAAUGGAGCUACCUACGUGGAGGGCUGACGACCGUUGAUCGAGAUUACGGGGUCAUCAACAACAUCCACCAUGACAUUGGCACCCAUGUCAUUCACCAUCUCUUCCCUCAAAUGCCACACUAUCACCUUGUGGAAGCGGUAAACAAUUUGAUUAUUAAUUUACUGUUUUUGUUGUUAUAAUUUGAGUCGGGAGAUUUCCUUCCUAAAUCCGAUCCCUGGUCAAUCUUGGCCCUUGAAUCUUCAUAUAAUCUAAAAAUCUAGAUUAAUCAGGAACAAUAUGAUCAUGUUGUUUAAACUAAUUUUGUUGGACCAUAACCUACCGCCAACUGAUGGACCACCGUCUCUGGUUACCGGACCCAUCAUUUCCGGUUACCAAGAAGUUUCUCGAUCAGUUUUCCGGUUACUUUGACCUGCGUUGAGGAAAAUUCUUUCACCCACGUAAACACUGUCGUCAACUUUACGUUUCUGGAAAGUUUUUCCGAUGAUUGGCCGUACAAUUUUGUACGAAGAGUUGUACGGAUCAUAUAAAUGUGUAUAAGUUUCUAGAAAUCCGUACUGAAAUAUAUACAUAUUUGACUUUUGUAUAAAGUGUAAUACUAAAUACUAUACUAAGUGCUGUACUCAGUAUGAUACUUAGUACACACAUUUGUAUGACUAUGAAAUGUCAAUUUUGCCCUUAUAUUCUCAGCCGUUAGAUCUAAGACACAGUUUUUAUACGGCUGAAAUUUGUGGGGGCUUUGUAGAUCGGAUCCAUAAGUCAUUUCUUGGCUCAAGAUUCGGACUCGAUUAUUAACUAUAUUAUUCAUCAACUCUGACGUUUGAUGUUGCAUGUGACAGACUCAGGCAGCGAAGCACGUGCUGGGGAAGUACUACAGAGAGCCGAAGAAAUCAGGGCCUUUCCCAUUCCACUUGUUUGGGUACUUGGUAAGGAGCCUGGGCGAGGAUCACUACGUUAGCGACACAGGCGACGUCGUUUUCUAUCAGUCUGACCCACAUAUUCCCAAGUUCCGUACCAGCAGUGCCACCACCAAGUCCAAAUCCAGCUGAUGAUAUUUGGCUCUGAUAUAUGCAGGCUGUUUAUCUUGUCCUUUGUUCGUUUCUUUCUCCCAGAAACAAAUUCUCUGUUUCUAUGUUUCUCUGUCUCUCCCGCCCCCAGCUUUCUUUCUGAGUAUAUCGUAUAAAGUUUCGAGUGAUUGUAAAAGCAGAAAAGAAGAAAAGAAGAAGAAUAAUAAAGAGGCUAAGCAACUGCUCUCUGGUUGCGUUGUCAUGGACUCAUGGUUGUUAACAUUGUAACAAAAGCAGAGAAAUUAUGCACUAGUAGUUCUUCUGGGUAAAUGAGUUAUGCUUUGCUAAUGAAAUGAUUUUGCAAUAAAACGUUCGGAAGCGGCAGCCCUAUAGGGUUUCGACUGUGUUCUGACCCUUCCUUUCCUCAACUUAUUGCCGCACCUUUAUCGCGGUGUAGGGUUCCGAGUACUUUACAUCAACGAGUUCCUACGCAUAAUCCGUGUUAUUUCCUCUUUUGGUCCAAAGCUCGUGUUCUGACCUUCCUUUCCUCAACUUAUUGCCGCAACUUUAUCGCGAUGUAGGGUUCCGAGUACGUUACAUCAAUGACUUCCUAUGCAUAAUCCGUGUUAUUUCAUCUUUUGGGUAUUGGACCAUACAAGGGUUCGAAGUGUGUGUUAGCAUACCUUAGCUCACGUUGAGCUCAAGUCGACUCUAGUUCGACUCGCGAACAAUCCUUAGCAAGCACAAUUACAAAAAAUUAGAGCUCCACUCAAACUUUGCACACUAACAAUCAUCGAUGAAGCUCUACCUCAAUUUAUCCCAAGAUACAUGAGUGUUCAUCUAUUACUUUACCUUAUACAAAAACAACAGUAUUUUUACAUAAUAUAUGCAAAUAAGAGACAUGCUAAUUAUUAUUGCUAAAUGACAAAAUGGUAAUUUAAUUUUCUAUUUUAUACGACUUAUUAAAAACGCUGCAUUUGAAUUCGCUUCCUGCAAUUCAAAUGCAUGAAAACCAAGUUUCCAGGAACUUGCAAGUGGAAAAAUAACUCGUAUGCAUCAUCACGAAAUGACCUGAAAUGUCACCGUACCCUCCAUAUCCCUUCACUGUCUAGAUUCUGCUUAUAUCACGACCAAACACCAUCGUUGUCAUCCAGUUAACAGCAACGUAAAACCUGUUCCUCCAGCUUAUCACUCGCGUAAGGUAUGCUGACCGCCAUAUGAACCAGCUGACGAAACCAGCUAAUGAUAUCCCUUUACCUUCCUGUUUUCCCACCAAAACAAAAAAUGGGUCCACCCUUCUGGAAAAAAACCAGCAAAAGGAAAGCAAGAAGAAAAAGAGUCUUACUUUGCUCUGUCUAAGAUCCACAAGAGCCUUGUACCGCCCUAGGGUCGCCAUGCUUCCCAGAUGCUUGUAGACAAAUGGAGUUCCGAAAUCUACUUCUGCUCCGCUGUUUGCCCGCCCUCCACCAGCUUUACCGAUUCGAUUUAGUAGACUUGCGAGAUAUUUACCUUGCCUCUCUGCAACCUGUUGUAAGUAACAUCACUAGCUCAGACUGUGGCAUUUCCUCAGAACGCUAAAGUCGGUAGCUUUUUCACAGCUUUACCUGAGCUAAAGCGGGCAGGACUGGUUUACCAGUACUCUCAACAAACCCACUGCAGUCACCAAUUGCAAACACAUCCGGCACAUUCGGUACCCUUAGCCACUCAUCAAUCCCUAUUCUGUAAAAACAAAUGAUGUACCAGAAUCAUUGGCCAGAAUCAUCCACAGAAUGCACAGAAUCUAACCUAUACUUCUAACAUGGAUUCUACUAUUGGUAUAUCAAAUACAUUUUCCACGUAACCAGUUUUGAAGGUGCAGAUAAUUUGACAGCCUAAACAGCUUACCUUCCACCAGGAGCUUUGGGCAAGUCUAGAGAUUUAACAAGAGGCGAAGGGCCCACACCGGUAGACCAAACCAGUAAGCCAUAAGGAACCUCUGUUCCAUUAUCAAGAACUAUCUUGUCAGCCUCGACAUCCUUGACAAUGCCAUGAACAAGUCGAACUCCUGACUAGAAUGCACAAGAUAAUUUUACUUACUCCAUAUUACAAGCUACUACUAGACCAACCGAUCGAAAACAUUGAAAAGGGAUCGGACAACUUUCAAGAUUCUAACCUUGGUCAAUUGUUUUGUAGCAUACUGCCGCAGACGAUCAUCAAAGGAAGACAAGAUCUCAUUUGCCUGAUAGCAGCGGAAAAAAGAACAGAAUCUCCGUAUUACUUAUUCAACACAUAGUCCAAAAAGCUAUUUUUAUUAAGAGUAGGUGAGGAAACCGAAACCUCAAUCAAAGUAACGCGGAUGUAAUCUUUGACAUGAGCAUGCCUUUGACGAACAUCUCUCAUGAUGAAAUCACUAAGCUCUCCGCUGAAUUCAACUCCAGUUGGGCCACCUCCUACAACAACACAAUGUAGCAAUCUGCUCUUUUCCUGCUCUGUAGUGCCUGCAAAUUACCAAUCAAAACAGUUCCUUCACUAUUAAUCAUCAUAGUGGUUAAAAUAGCAUUUCUCUGUCACUUUUCGGUUUUGCUAUUUUACUAAUCAUCCAGCAAAAAAGAUCAAACCUGGGACAUCAGAGAGCAUCAAAUUCAGGAGCAGCUUCCUCCGAAUCUCCUGAGCUUGAUGAACUUCUCUGAGAAAAAUGGCAUGCUCUUUGACUCCCUGGAUUCCAAAAGUGGUGGCCUCCGCUCCUAAUGCGAUCACCAAUUUAUCAUACGCUAUGGUGAAUUUCCAUGGCUCCACUGCGUUUGGUCCAUCAGUCACCGUCUCACACUUCACCUAAACCCCCACCUAAUCGUUACAAAAGAUACAACAUUUCCAAGAUCACUGCAAGUGAGAAGCAAAAAAACGUACCAAAUGAUUGUGAGGGUCGAUCCCUUUGCAAUUGGAGAGGAAGAAAUACGAUCCGGGUUCGGAAGAAAUGGCGGGUUGGAUCCGACCCACCGGCUCAGCAACAGACCUGAAUUCGAGAGUUCCGACGCAGGUGGAAGCAAGGAGAGGGGUGAAGACCAUGUGAUUCCUGGGGGAAACGCAGACGACGUCGUAUAAGGUGGUGUCGAUUCCUUUCAUCAAUCGGCAGCCUGCCCAUCCGGAUCCCAACACCACCACCCUUGCCUUCUCGCCGCUUGUCGUGGGCUUCAAGCUUCCGCAGUGAGUCGGCGACGGAGACAGAGUCGGAUGAGGAGGAGGGGCGCUGUCGGCGGCGACGGUGGUGAAGUAGGAGAGCGAGGUGGCGACGGGUGUGGUUCUGAUGGGCGGAGGCGGGAAGGAUUUGACGGUUGUUGAUAAUCGGGUCAAGGUCCGAAACCAGGCCAUGGUGAUUUGGUUUAGAGCAGUGAUGAUUGAAAAGAAGGAAAGGUUGGAUUGGGAUGUAGAAAGAAAUAGUUUUUGGUCGUGGGCUGCGGGAAUUUUGGGACAGCAUUGGAUCGGAAAUUGGAGUGCAUCAGCAUCAGCUGGUGAUUCAGCAGAAGGAAAAUGGGCUAAGCAAAUUUUUAUUGCGAUGCGAAAGGGAAACGUGGAAGAUUAUUGGCGGGUCCGGUCCUACCACAGAAUACUGGAACCGGAUCCGAGGUAGGUCCCUUGCUUCCUUUUCGCCGUAUAUAUCCAACUCUGUUGAAUUCUUAUUUCAAGUUAUGCGGCAUUAUUUGCUUGUCUGGCGGGAAAUUUUAUCUGAAGCUUUUAUUUGCAUUCCAUCUAAACUUUAAUCUUGAAAGUACGUAUCUUUGUGCAUUACGGUAAUCUGAGUUUUGGAUAGUGGUAGUAAGUCCUUGAUCAUCUCAAACUUGUGUAGGUUUCUGGGUACGUUGGCGAUGAACAACUGGGAAAAGCUUUGGAGGGAUCAGAUAUCGUAAUCAUACCAGCUGGCGUUCCAAGGAAGCCUGGAAUGACCCGUGAUGAUCUCUUCAAUAUUAAUGCUGGAAUUGUUAAAGGUCUUUGUCAAGCAAUUGCCAAGUACUGCCCUCAUGUAAGUUUGAAUUCCUAAAAUCGACACCUCAUGCACCAAGUUCUGCCUACUUCUUCAUCUGUUACUCGUUUUUGUUGUUACCUGCGAACUGAUUAAUCUCCACCGACGUGGAAUUAAGCGCUCGUGAAUAUGAUUAGCAAUCCAGUGAACUCAACUGUUCCGAUAGCGGCUGAGGUCUUCAAGAAAGCUGGAACUUAUGAUGAGAAAAGGUUAUUUGGAGUUACUACUCUUGAUGUGGUCAGGGCUAGGACUUUCUAUGCUGGGAAGGCCAAUGUCCCUGUCGCAGGUCCGUUUUUUAGCUUGUUUCUCAGUCGAUACAUCUUGUAUCUGUCUCCUAGAUUUUCCUCCAAGGAUGGUUUAUCCAAUUCUAGCUCACAUGUCAAUGUGAUGGAGAAUGGAACUGAAAUAACAUCCUUUGUCAUCACUAACUUUGGUUUUAUGGUCUUGAACUUCACCGAUUGCCACUGAUUUCUGCCAGUAACAUAACAAUUUUACUUUGUGGUGAUGCAUUUUUUAGUUAAGUUGGUUUGUAACUGAAUUGUGCAGGGGUCAACAUUCCAGUUGUAGGAGGGCAUGCCGGUGUAACAAUUAUCCCAUUGUUUUCACAGGUACUUGUCUCUCUUUGCUCAUGUGUUUUCGUAGUCUUUAUUCCCACGUUUCAUCCCUUCUGUCUUCGUUGUUGAAUUGACGAUCUUUUUGUUUUACUUCGUAGGCCAAUCCCAAAUAGAACUUUUCAGGUGAAGAGAUAGUUGCUCUUACAAAGAGAACUCAAGACGGUGGCACGGAAGUCGUGGAAGCAAAGGCUGGAAAGGGCUCUACAACAUCGUCAAUGGCGUAAGUUGCACUGUCAAUAAAUAUCCAUGCUUCUAGACAUGAAUUAAGUUAACCUGCAUGUAUAGUGAUUUUCUCAACCCAGUAAUUAUUUGAAUGAGAUGAUAGAACUUCUGGUUACCAACUUGUCUGGUUAUCUUCAUUUUCAGCUACGCCGGUGCCCUUUUCGCUGAUGCGUGCUUGAAGGGGCUCAAUGGUUUUCCAGAUUUGGUCGAAUGCACAUUUGUACAAUCGAAUGUAACCAAACUUCCUUUGUUUGCUUCAAAGGUGAACAAGAAACUCCCAGGAGCUUUGGCUUAAGUCUUCAUGGGAACUCAUAUCAAGUGUGUUUUACUUCCCAUCUUCUUCCAGUUACUGAAUCAGUGUAUGUGUAUGCCGGGAUGUUUUGCAGGUGAGACUGGGAAAGAAUGGCGUCGAGGAAGUCUUGGGAUUGGGUCCUCUUUCUGACUUUGAGAAACAAGGGUUGGAAAACAUGAAGUCUGAGUUGAAAUCCUCCAUUGAGAAAGGAAUUACCUUUGCCAACAAGUGAUUGAUGAACUGAACCAUCUCUAACAAGUAGUCUCAGGUUGCUGGAAAUAGAGCUACGAGUUUUUGUUUGUUGCACUCAAUAUUGGAAAUUUGAGGUGAUUGAUAUAUAGUUGUUUGGCCAUCACGAACAGACACAAAGGUGGUCAAUCGAUAGCUUUUUAUUACUGGAAAAUGCUCUCAUUCGUACAUUUUAUUUCCUAAUUCAUAAAUCAUAUUCAUUAUUCUGUUACAAUAACUGAUCAGCCGAACAGGGCAGAGACCGGAGUAGGCGCCGGAGCGAUGACUUUCUGGUGGCGGAGGACUACGUCGGCUGGUGGAGGAUGUUUACAAGGGUGACGUGGAUCAUGGCAUGGGUUGGGGCCAGUAGGUGGAUAAUCAUCUAUCCCUACUCCGUCAUUGAACCACUCUGUUACAAAAUUCAUCACAUAGAAAAUUUAUGCACAAUUAGGGUUAUUCAUAAGCCGAGCAGAAAUCAAGUUGUCGUCUUGCUCUGCCAUAUGGCUUGAGUAAGCUUGGCAAGAAAUCAACACGAAUAAGUUAAAUAGAUAUAUAGUUCGAUAAUCAUGAACUCAUGAUAACUGAUUUUGGCUCGAGGUCGAAAUAAAAAGUAAACAUUUAAAAUGGACUAGGACUUGUAACUCUUAAUUCAAUGUUCAAACUUAGUUACUAAUUGUCGAGCAGCUUGUGUGCCCUUAUUGAGCUAGCUUGCGAGCUACCGUACAUCAAGCAUUGAUGAGCGAACUCGCGAGUCUGAUUGAUAAAGCACACGAGCCCGACAGACCGAGCUCCAAACGAGAUUUGAAGUAGCUUUUACAAGCCAUAUGACAAGUUGUUCACUCACUGCUUGUCACACCCUAGUCAUACCUCACACAAUGAGAUAUAAAAGAGACGGGUUGCGAGCUUGACUCGUCGAACUCAAGAGUUGAGACAAGGUUUAUCCAAGCUCAUCUCGUCUAAUAUCUAACUGAAUUUUGAACGAUUUUUUUAAAUAGUUUUAUAAGGCGAAUACAUGUCAAACGACUCACUCGUUAGUGAUUUGGUUCAUCAGUCGAUGCAUGUAGAAAUUAGAUCGCAGAGACUAGAAGAGAUGUAAAAUUUACCAGAGACUGAGAAUGGAUCACGAGCAGCACAUACAGUAAGGGGUGAAGAAGCAAACAUCAGGAGGGAGAAGAUCAAAGCGCACAGGAAGAACAAGCAGAAAUUACUGCAUCCUAAUUUCAUCGUUGUUGUUUCCUUUAGUGAAUAUCAGAGUGAUGUUUGUAAAUGGUUGGAACAAAAAUGAAAACAAGUACGUGUAUAUAUAAACAAAAUAACAGUCAACUGAUGCUUUGCUUGCAUGUUUAGAAGAGAAAAUAUAUAUCGUCUCAUUGAGAAAUCCGCCAUUGAUUUGCAACAAUCAAUGAGGCUGGUGAGUGAGUUCAUGUAUGUUGCUGUUAUUGGUAACGGACUGGAGGUGAACAAAGUCAAAUUAAAUGGUUAGAAACAAAAAUUAAGCAACAACUCAUGAUUUCAUAAAUUCAUCGACAACUUUGUGCGUGGUGCUAGCUUUUCCGGCCGCCUCGAGGACCGGCGCCUCGUCCUCGACCUUGACUGCCGCGUGCCUUAUCAGGUUCGUGUCCCCGAUUCGCUGACGGUUCAUCGUAGUCUGCCAGUGACACCUUCAACGACCUGCCCUCCGACAACUUACCCUCUGCGAUAAUAAAAGCAAUCGUGUAUGCAGUCAGGAUUUAUCUAUUUUGAUUAAUUUGCUUGCUGAGUUAGCUCACAUGUCAAAAAAAAUGUGCCUAUUAUGACGAUGAGAUGAGAGGCUGAGAAGACUGAUUCAAUUAGACACAUCAUGUCU
RNAcentral lists this long non-coding RNA (11327 nucleotides) under Linum usitatissimum (flax). Its description in RNAcentral is "long non-coding RNA (LUSI_LNC004499)". Lineage: Eukaryota; Viridiplantae; Streptophyta; Magnoliopsida; Malpighiales; Linaceae. The record is from RNAcentral.